CCUACGGGAGGCAGCAGUAGGGAAUCUUCCGCAAUGGACGAAAGUCUGACGGAGCAACGCCGCGUGAGUGAAGAAGGUUUUCGGAUCGUAAAACUCUGUUGUAAGGGAAGAACAAGUACGUUAGUAACUGAACGUACCUUGACGGUACCUUACCAGAAAGCCACGGCUAACUACGUGCCAGCAGCCGCGGUAAUACGUAGGUGGCAAGCGUUAUCCGGAAUUAUUGGGCGUAAAGCGCGCGUAGGCGGUUGUGUAAGUAUGGUGUGAAGGGACCAGUGGUAACGGGUGAGGGGAAGGCGAAACCGGGUGGCGUGAGAGCAGACGAGGUGAGUUGGAUUACAUGUGUGGCGGUGAAGUGCGCUGGGAGAUGGAGGAACACCAGUGGCGAAGGCGGCUCUCUGGUCUGUAACGGACACUGAGGUGCGAAGGCGUGGGGAUCAAACAGGAUUAGAUCCCCUAGUAGUC
Molecule: ribosomal RNA, 465 nt
Filed under: uncultured Macrococcus sp.
Lineage: Bacteria; Bacillati; Bacillota; Bacilli; Caryophanales; Staphylococcaceae
Description: bacterial SSU rRNA
Rfam family: Bacterial small subunit ribosomal RNA
Source: RNAcentral